RNAcentral lists this long non-coding RNA (633 nucleotides) under Suricata suricatta (meerkat). RNAcentral's name for it is "lncRNA (ENSSSUG00005012646.1)". Lineage: Eukaryota; Metazoa; Chordata; Mammalia; Carnivora; Herpestidae. The record is from RNAcentral.
CUCAGAGACGCCCACAGGCGUGUGCCCCAGAGAGGCACAGGCGUUCACACAGACUCAGGCACGUUCCCAUACACACUCAUACACGCACAUUCACACACACCCAAAGAAACUCGUGGGCACUCACCACUUGCACAGAUCUCUCGGCCUAAGUAAACUCUUUAGGUUCUGGCCCAGCCAGUUAGGCGAACACACCCGCUAUCUCUGUCCGUGGUGCUGAAACCAGAUCUUUCUCCUUACCGAAGGACAAGGCAGGGAAGAGAUAAGAGGAGCCCCGAGAUGCGUGGUAGAAGACAGAAGGAAUGGAGGAGAGAGAGGAUAUGAGAGGAAGAAACUCACAGAUAAAGGAGAGAGAGAAUCUAAAGGAUACUAGGGGCGCCAAGCGGGGAUGCCCAAACACUGGGACUAGAAGAGGCAGGUUGAGGACUUCCCUCCAUCUGAAACAGCACCAGGCAGGAAGGAGGCUGUCCAGGUGUGGACGAGGAGGGUUCCUGAUGUCCUGUUGGGUAACUCAUGGUGAUGUCAAGCUCCACUCUUCCAGAGCCCCAGUUCAAUCCCCCAAAUGAAAUGAGGCCACUGUGAGAAACCGGGUCCGGCUUUGCAUCUCAUUUACAUAAAUAUUUAUUAAUCGUCAUU